GGGGAUGUAGCUCCAGGGUAGGGCGCUUGCUUGGCAUGCAGGAGGCACUAGGUUCGAUUCCCAAUGCCACCA
Molecule: transfer RNA, 72 nt
Filed under: Mesocricetus auratus (golden hamster)
Lineage: Eukaryota; Metazoa; Chordata; Mammalia; Rodentia; Cricetidae
Rfam family: tRNA
About the family: Transfer RNA (tRNA) molecules are approximately 80 nucleotides in length. Their secondary structure includes four short double-helical elements and three loops (D, anti-codon, and T loops).
Source: Rfam by way of RNAcentral